UCGAGGGGCAGCGGGGGCGAAGCUUGCUUCGCCUGCCGGCGACCGGCGCACGGGUGAGUAACACGUAUGCGACCUGCCCCCCGCAGGGGGAUAACCGGGAGAAAUCCCGACUAAUACCGCGUAACGCCGCGGGGCUGCAUGGCCCCGCGGCCAAAGGAAGCGAUUCCGGCGGGGGAUGGGCAUGCGGCGCAUUAGCUAGUCGGCGGGGUAACGGCCCACCGAGGCGACGAUGCGUAGGGGUUCUGAGAGGAAGGUCCCCCACACUGGUACUGAGACACGGACCAGACUCCUACGGGAGGCAGCAGUGAGGAAUAUUGGUCAAUGGGCGGGAGCCUGAACCAGCCAAGUCGCGUGAGGGAAGACGGUCCUACGGAUUGUAAACCUCUUUUGCCGGGGAGCAACGGGGUCCUUGCGAGGGCCCAAUGAGAGUACCCGGAGAAAAAGCAUCGGCUAACUCCGUGCCAGCAGCCGCGGUAAUACGGAGGAUGCGAGCGUUAUCCGGAUUUAUUGGGUUUAAAGGGUGCGUAGGCGGGCUGUUAAGUCAGCGGUCAAAUGUCGGGGCUCAACCCCGGCCUGCCGUUGAAACUGGCGGCCUCGAGUGGGCGAGAAGUAUGCGGAAUGCGUGGUGUAGCGGUGGAAUGCAUAGAUAUCACGCAGAACUCCGAUUGCGAAGGCAGCAUACCGGCGCCCGACUGACGCUGAGGCACGAAAGCGUGGGUAUCGAACAGGAUUAGAUACCCUGGUAGUCCACGCAGUAAACGAUGAAUGCUAGCUGUCCGGGGCUUCGGCUCUGGGUGGCACAGC
This 804-nucleotide ribosomal RNA is filed under the name uncultured bacterium. RNAcentral describes it as "bacterial SSU rRNA". It matches the Rfam family "Bacterial small subunit ribosomal RNA", at positions 62 to 852 of the family's 1533-position model. The record is from RNAcentral.